CCCAGUUUCCCAGAAUCCUCCUGCCUCUCUACGUUACAGCAGAAAGUGAAAAUUGAAAGCAAAAAUAAUCCAUUACUGCGAUAAAGAGAGUCUCCGAAGUGAAGGUCACUUUUCAAAUCUAAUUAUAAAGAGGCCUCAGACAAUUGUAUAUUUCUUCCUGAACAAUAGAAACUGGAGCUCAGACCACAAUUUUCAGAGUAUCCAGCCUUUGAAUGGUGCUUCUGUCUCUCUACUCUGGACAACAUCUCUGAACACUGGAAA
Non-coding RNA from Lepisosteus oculatus (spotted gar), 261 nucleotides. The record is from RefSeq and is a predicted model, not a curated record. Lineage: Eukaryota; Metazoa; Chordata; Actinopteri; Semionotiformes; Lepisosteidae.